Non-coding RNA from Picea glauca (white spruce), 123 nucleotides. Lineage: Eukaryota; Viridiplantae; Streptophyta; Pinopsida; Pinales; Pinaceae. The record is from Rfam.
AUGUACAUUCCUGCAACAUAGCAUUAAUGUACCAGAUUCCAUUAGAACUUUGCAGUUAAUCGUGCUCAGGAUAGAGUAGUACUGGGAUGGGUGACCACUUAGAAAGUCCUAGUGUUUUACAUG